Molecule: ribosomal RNA, 112 nt
Filed under: Saimiri boliviensis boliviensis (Bolivian squirrel monkey)
Lineage: Eukaryota; Metazoa; Chordata; Mammalia; Primates; Cebidae
Source: RNAcentral
CCUUGGGGCCACAUUGCCCUGAAUGCGUCUGAUCUCGUCCCUCUUGGAAGCUAAGCAGGGUCAGGCCUGGUGACUACCUGGGUGGGAGAAGAAGGAGGAGUUGCCUCACGGA